This is a non-coding RNA of Lynx canadensis (Canada lynx), 85 nucleotides long. The record is from the annotation of a RefSeq genome assembly. NCBI's taxonomy places the organism in Eukaryota, Metazoa, Chordata, Mammalia, Carnivora, Felidae.
GCCUGGAUGGCUCAGUCGGUUGAGUGUCUGACUGUGGCUCAGAUCAUGAUUUCGUGGUUCGUGGGUUCGAGCCCCGCAUCGGGCU